RNAcentral lists this ribosomal RNA (439 nucleotides) under uncultured bacterium. Its description in RNAcentral is "partial 16S ribosomal RNA". It matches the Rfam family "Bacterial small subunit ribosomal RNA", at positions 339 to 795 of the family's 1533-position model. The record is from RNAcentral.
CUACGGGACGCAGCAGUGGGGAAUAUUGCACAAUGGAGGAAACUCUGAUGCAGCGACGCCGCGUGGAGGAUGACACUUUUCGGAGCGUAAACUCCUUUUAUAUAGGAAGAAGAUGACGGUACUAUAUGAAUAAGCGCCGGCUAACUCCGUGCCAGCAGCCGCGGUAAUACGGAGGGCGCAAGCGUUACUCGGAAUCACUGGGCGUAAAGAGCGUGUAGGCGGAUUAAAAAGUCAGAAGUGAAAUCCUAUAGCUUAACUAUAGAACUGCUUCUGAAACUCUUAAUCUAGAAUGUGGGAGAGGUAGAUGGAAUUUCUGGUGUAGGGGUAAAAUCCGUAGAGAUCAGAAGGAAUACCGAUUGCGAAGGCGAUCUACUAGAACAUUAUUGACGCUGAGACGCGAAAGCGUGGGGAGCAAACAGGAUUAGAUACCCCCGUAGUC